Urocitellus parryii (Arctic ground squirrel) is the source of this 324-nucleotide non-coding RNA. The record is from RefSeq and is a predicted model, not a curated record. Lineage: Eukaryota; Metazoa; Chordata; Mammalia; Rodentia; Sciuridae.
AUAUGCACUGAGUACCUGCUGUAUGCCUGGGACUGUGUUAGGAAUUGAGGAAAUUCCAAUGAGCAAAUAUGGAUCACAUUCCUUCUUGCAGACUAGCAGAAGAUAUAGACUUGGAACUUGACAAUUACAACACUAUACUGCGGCUUGUUGAAAAUGUAGGAGCCAAUGUUUCCAACCAUCCCUGCUCCAAACUCUGAUGCAUACGCACCUGUGUACAGGGUGCACCCUGGCCUACAUGUUCUUUCAUCAUUCUGCAGUGCUCAAUGUGGUUAUUGUACAGCUUCAUUUUCAGUGAAAGCCACGGGAACAGAAGCCUCAUACAUU